AUUCUUAAUAUCAUUUAAUUUAAUUGAACGAUAUUUUCUCAAACAUCUUUAUUCAAGUUAAAAAGCUUCAAUUUACGGAACAAAUUUAAAAUGCACUUCUUUCUAAAUUUUCUCUCUCCUACAUUUGUUUUUCUUCCAAAAUGCCCCAUUUCCUUCUAUCUUUAUACACGUUAGACUAGUACAAUAUUUACACACACGCACUCACAACCUUUUAUAGACUGUAUUUAUAUCUUUUCCCCGGCUUCUACUUCUCUCCCUUCUUCUUAUUCUCAACUCUCUCCUUAUCUUUUGAGACACAUGGACACGAACAUAUCGUCGGCGAGAACUUGUCUGGUAUCACACCUGUCCGCAAUCGUAAUCGUCCUUUCUCGUAAUAUCGAUUACAAUCAUUAUUUCAUCUACAGUUGACAUUUAUAUUUAUUUCUAAUAAAUGUGAAAAAAAAGAAAGAAGAAGAGAAAGAAGAAAAAGUCAUUGGAAUUUAAUGAUACGAAUUUAUUGGCCUACGAACAACCUUGAACGAGAAGAAUGUGAAUAAAAUGUAGGCCUACCAGAUUUUAAAUUUCGGCUCAUAAUUAUUUCUACUUUUAUAGACGAAUUUAAGCGCGUCAAUCUGGAAAAAGUCAAAUCAACGUGAGAUUUGAUGACCCGAUUGUACGACACAUCGGCAUCGCUAGGCUUGGUUGGCCAAGUUUAGCCAUGAACAACCCCUGAUGAAAGAGUUUCGAGAGCUCGCCGACGCAUUUUGCGGCGACAUGUCGCUGACUCGGUCUGCUCUAAACUCGUUCGACGACAACGACGACGACAAGAAGGAGGGACGCGAGUAAUAAUACUCGUAAGUGAGUACGAACUUGUUGGACGAUGCGACGAAGUAUCCUUUUAAUUCGUUACGAAUCACCAGUCGGGUGCGUUUCCUUUUUUUUUUCUUUACAUCUUCUUACGUCGUGUUACUCUUAAUGUCCUUCCCUUCGAGUACUAUCCGAAUAUCGAGCUUUGAUUUUUAAAAUGUCGCACGCACGUCGCUUCGUAGCACAUUUAAUCAAUACGAUUUCGACAUUGUUUCUCUCUUCUUUUUUUUAUUUGUAUUUUUCUUUACUUUUUCAUCUUGUAAUAUGGUAGAUAACAAAAAGUGUUACACUUUACGUUCUUUCGAAUUACGUUUUGGAAAUUUUAUCGUUUGAUUCAAUCGUUCAAUCAAUUUUUGCUAUUUGCUCAAAUUGAUAGGACAUUUUAGAUAAAAAAAAAAAGUCAGAAUAAUUAAGCCAGUUGACAGAUCGUUCCUGUAUCAUGUGAGACUUAUGUAGGUAUAGGAACGAUCUUAUCCAACCGUUAGCAUUCCGCAUCCCGACGAAUCGGAGCGAGACACGCGCUGGUCCUCGCAAACUCGCACGACGACGAGAGGAAGGAUGACGUCAUCGAUGCCGAAACAUCGUAUUAUUCGUUUCCGAUCAAAAAUCUUUCGUGCAGAACGAAUAACAACGCGCUCGAGCAUCGGUCAUCGAUGAGCUAUUUGAAACAACCUCGCUCGAAGCCAUCAUCGAUGGGAAACUACCAGAAGGAAUUGAUGAAACUGCUGACGAAGUUUUAGUAUCUUCAACAUGCGAAACGAUCGGUCCAGGCAAUAAUCCAAAAUUAGAAGAAGAAGUUAAAGUGGACACAUCGGUAGCACCGAUCGACGAUGAAGCAGAAUCGUUCGAAUAAACAAAUGUAGGAGUUAUUUCGCUAAUUGGUGCAGUAAUCGAAGAAAUUGUCGUUGUCGUUAUGGAUUUAGGUAAAACAACAGGAGACGUAGUGCAUGCUAAAGUCGUCGUUGUCGGUGUUAGGGUAGAAGAGAUCGAUAAAGCCGAGCUAGGGAUCGGUACCGGCUGAGUCCUCGCUCCAGCUUCGCACAAUUUUGCAUCCAGCUUCUCGGCUAACCGGGUUACUUCUGCCAAUUUCGCAGAGAUCGCUUCGACCGCUGUUAGAUUAGCGGCUUUGCCCGAAGCAUCCUCGGCUUCGGACAUUCUAGAAAGUGAUAAAUAUGAUGUUUAAUACUUAGCCUGGUAUAAAAAGAUUUUACUGCGUCUCGUACCUUACUUCGUAACGUCUAGAAAAAGAGAAAAAUAAUAGGGAAGAAAAAGAGAGAGAGAGAAAUAUCUUCGAGUUAUUUUUCAAUGAGUCGAUAAGUAUAUAAACCGAGGAAAUAUUAAUUAUUACAUAUGUAAGUGGUUUAUACUUUAUAAAAGUUAUAAAACGAAUUGAGCACUGAAGAAAUAAUUUCGAAUAAAAUUCGACACCGAUCGAUCUGUUUUCAUUGACAAAAUUAGAUACGCGAGUACCUUCUAAGAUAAAACGUCAAAUUUUAGUGAUUGCGUAAGAACGACGACAGUGACAGCGCGCCGUGAUGGCGCGUCGUCGGCCAGAUGGUCUUUCAAUGUGGGACGAAGUUCUAAUUUCGGGGAGCAGAUACACCGUCUGUAGCAUCAAGUACCAGGAUCAUCCGCCGUUUUUAAUCUAUACGCCAUAAGUUUCUUGUAUUCGAAUAUAAAAAAAAAAAUAUUUAAAAAUGAUUUUAAAACUCUAACGCCGACAUAGUUUUGAUCAAUAGAGUUUCUUCGAUUCGUGGAAAAGUGCCAAUCGGAUUUUCCAAACACGAAACGUGGGUGAGAGAAUGAUGAUAUAAUCUAUCCACGUUGAAGAAUUUAUAUCAGAGAUCUGGAAUUAAUGUCAGUACAUAUUUUGGUAUGAUUGAAAUCAUACAGGCGGUAAAUACAUUCGUACAAAACAUUUGAUCAACAAUUGGUAAACAAUAUGAUAUAUCUUAGAAACGGCAAGCUAGGACAAAGUCUAACAAUAAGCAACACUUUGCGGAGUUAUUUUUUGACCAUGACCGUCUAUGAAAUAAGACUUUUACUUCUAUGAAUACUGUUCUUGAAAUGUGUUAAAGACACACGACCGUCCCAUAUUCGUCGCGCCAAGAACACAUAUGAGAGAAGCAUCAAAGACGAGUACACGUGUUUGAUCUGAUUCGCUUUCACAUUUCUACGAAUUCGAAUAUAAUCGGACGAUUAGACGUGUAAAUAAUAUUAUACAACAAGUAACAAGUUUAUAAUCAUUUUCUAUAGAUCAUAUCGACAAGACGUUCAAAGGAUAAAAAAGAAGUGAGAAGAACAAAGAAAUGUCUUUAGUCUUAGGUCUGAUAUAACUCACAUGAACCGCUCAUAAGAUGUUGCUAUCCCUUCGACGAACAACCAUGAACUGACACGCCGCCUCUAUUAAAAACGGAGCUAACCGCCAACUUAGCCCCCCCCCCUUUCUUGCCCCUUACAAUUUAUAUUCAACUUUAUCUCCCCUGGCACUUUAGUUUACGGAAAGCCACGUACUACGACGAGUGAAAUAUACCUUAUGUUUAUUGAGUUAACCCAAUUGCACGAUCUCCUCUCUCGGGCUUUCAUUUUCUCUUUUUUCUUUUUUUUUUUUUUUUUUUCUUUUUUUGUUCAUACAACACCAAAAUACCGAUCGCGAUAAUGUUUUCACUUUGAUGAAUUAUUUUCUUUAAAUAAUAACUUAGCGAUUAAUUUUAUGAAUCGUCGAUCCGUCGUCGUACUUGCCGUUGAUGGUAUACGGGUUCCUUUAAUCUGGUCCUCAAAAGACGUCCUAGUCUCACCAUGCGGCCAACGUCCAACAAUAGUUUUUCUCGAUCACCCAAGAUAUCCCUUAUCUCAGCUCUAGCACGGCACUCGCUAGCGAAAUCUUCAUUUUUUCUCGCUCGUUUUAAAGACCCAACGAUUUCAAUCAAAUCCCGCAAUUUCGAACAAUGCUAAAAUUUUGUAAAAUUGUAUAUAAGAAAAACAUUCGUGAUAACUCAAGUUUUUGCCUUGUCAUGCAUUACUUCAUCAGCAAAACAUAUUUACGUACAUCCUCAACGCUUCUAUGAAAAACGGCACAUACUCGUAGCCUAGUUAGUUGCUCUUGACCAGCUGAACGUAACUGUUUCCAUGUUUGACGUAAUCUUGAAAACAAGUGAACGUUGUUGUCCAAUGAUAAUCUGCAAGACAAUCUUAACACUCGUGCUCCGUUUACCAAUUGACAACCGUACUCAUAAGUUCCCUGUAAAAAAA
Molecule: long non-coding RNA, 4098 nt
Organism: Vespa mandarinia (Asian giant hornet)
Lineage: Eukaryota; Metazoa; Arthropoda; Insecta; Hymenoptera; Vespidae
Source: RefSeq, a predicted model, not a curated record